GCCUAUAUGAAGUCGGAAUUGCUAGUAAUCGCGGAUCAGCAUGCCGCGGUGAAUACGUUCCCGGGCCUUGUACACACCGCCCGUCACACCAUGAGAGUCGAUAACACCCGAAGCCUGUAGUCUAACAGCAAUGAGGACGCAGUCGAAGGUGGGAUUGAUAAUUAGGGUGAAGUCGUAACAAGGUAAC
Molecule: ribosomal RNA, 187 nt
Filed under: uncultured bacterium
Lineage: Bacteria
Description: partial 16S ribosomal RNA
Rfam family: Bacterial small subunit ribosomal RNA
Source: RNAcentral